UAAUACGUAGGAUGCGAGCGUUGUCCGGAAUUAUUGGGCGUAAAGAGAACGUAGGCGGUUUGCCAAGUUUGAUCUUAAAGACCGGGGCUUAACUCCGGGAGUGGAUCGAAAACUGGCAGACUAGAGGACGUCAGAGGAAAGUGGAAUUCCCAGUGUAGCGGUGAAAUGCGUAGAUAUUGGGAGGAACACCAGUGGCGAAAGCGACUUUCUGGGACGUUCCUGACGCUGAGGUUCGAAAGCUCGGGGAGCAAACAGGAUUAGAUACCCUGGUAGUCCGAGCCGUAAACGAUGGAUACUAGGUGUCAUGGGUAUCAACCCCCGUGGUGCCGUAGCUAACGCGUUAAGUAUCCCGCCUGGGGAGUACGGUCGCAAGACUG
This 377-nucleotide ribosomal RNA is filed under the name uncultured bacterium. RNAcentral describes it as "bacterial SSU rRNA". It matches the Rfam family "Bacterial small subunit ribosomal RNA", at positions 521 to 896 of the family's 1533-position model. The record is from RNAcentral.